Aotus nancymaae (Ma's night monkey) is the source of this 141-nucleotide small nucleolar RNA. Ensembl annotates it as small nucleolar RNA, C/D box 10. Its record names the gene SNORD10. The record is from Ensembl. Lineage: Eukaryota; Metazoa; Chordata; Mammalia; Primates; Aotidae.
GCUCUGUGAUGAGGCCCAUGCGUGUCAUCUGAGCCUGGCUUCCCUGGCAGCAUGGCCCAGGCAGUGUUCUACUUCCCAGGGCUGUUGUCUGGCCAGGCAGGAAAGUCCUCGGCAAAGGAUCAGUCUUUGUAUUCUGAGAGC